Molecule: long non-coding RNA, 434 nt
Filed under: Musa acuminata (dwarf banana)
Lineage: Eukaryota; Viridiplantae; Streptophyta; Magnoliopsida; Zingiberales; Musaceae
Description: long non-coding RNA (MACU_LNC006458)
Source: RNAcentral
UUCUUCUCCUUCUCCUUUUCUCCUCUUCUUCCCUUCUCCUCCCCGACGCCCCACACCUCCUCGCUGCAGCCCUUGCCGCAGCCACCCUCCUCUCUCUUCUUCUUCUUCUCUUCUUCUCCUCUUCUUCCUUUCUCCUCCCCAACGCCCCACAGCUCCUCGCUGCAGCCUUGCCGCAGCCACCCUCCUCUUUUCUUCAUCUUCUUCUUCUUCUUCUUCUUCUUCUUCUCCUCUUCUUCCCUUCUCCUUCCCGACGUCCCACACAUGCACUCUAGAGGAAACAGAGGUGCUGCAGCCCUAGCUGCUGCAGCUACCUCUCUCUCCUCUCUUCCCUCUCUUUUUCCUCUUCUUCGUUCCUUCCUUCUCCCUCCUCUCCUUCUUCUCUUCUUCUUCCCUUCUUCUAUACUUUUCCUCUUUCUCCCCAAUGCCUCACAGCU